GACGAACGCUGGCGGCGUGCUUAACACAUGCAAGUCGAACGGAAAGGCCCUGCUUUUGUGGGGUGCUCGAGUGGCGAACGGGUGAGUAACACGUGAGUAACCUGCCCUUGACUUUGGGAUAACUUCAGGAAACUGGGGCUAAUACCGGAUAGGAGCUCCUGCUGCAUGGGGGGGGUUGGAAAGUUUCGGCGGUUGGGGAUGGACUCGCGGCUUAUCAGCUUGUUGGUGGGGUAGUGGCUUACCAAGGCUUUGACGGGUAGCCGGCCUGAGAGGGUGACCGGCCACCUUGGGCCUGCGGUACGGCCCAGACUCCUACGGGAGGCAGCAGUGGGGAAUAUUGCACAAUGGGCGGAAGCCUGAUGCAGCAACGCCGCGUGCGGGAUGACGGCCUUCGGGUUGUAAACCGCUUUCGCCUGUGACGAAGCGUGAGUGACGGUAAUGGGUAAAGAAGCACCGGCUAACUACGUG
Molecule: ribosomal RNA, 468 nt
Filed under: uncultured bacterium
Lineage: Bacteria
Description: partial 16S ribosomal RNA
Rfam family: Bacterial small subunit ribosomal RNA
Source: RNAcentral